GACCUUCGGGAGCCUAUACAGGUGUUGCAUGGCUGUCGUCAGCUCGUGUCGUGAGAUGUUCGGUUAAGUCCGCUAACGAGCGCAACCCUCGUCGUAUGUUAUAUGUGUCAUACGAGACUGCCGGUAAAAAGCCGGAGGAAGGUGAGGAUGAUGUCAAGUCAGCAUGACCUUUAUAUCCAGGGCUACACACACGCUACAAUGGUCUGUACAAUGGGUAGCCAAGCCGCGAGGCGGAGCCAAUCCUGAAAGCAGGCCUCAGUUCAGAUUGCAGUCUGCAACUCGACUGCAUGAAGCCGGAGUUGCUAGUAACCGCAGGUCAGCAAUACUGCGGUGAAUACGUUCCCGGGUCUU
Molecule: ribosomal RNA, 351 nt
Filed under: uncultured Anaerolineaceae bacterium
Lineage: Bacteria; Bacillati; Chloroflexota; Anaerolineae; Anaerolineales; Anaerolineaceae
Description: bacterial SSU rRNA
Rfam family: Bacterial small subunit ribosomal RNA
Source: RNAcentral